UACGUAGGGUGCAGGCGUUAAUCGGAAUUACUGGGCGUAAAGCGUGCGCAGGCGGUUUCUUAAGUCAGAUGUGAAAGCCCCGGGCUUAACCUGGGAACUGCGUUUGAAACUGGGAGACUUGGGUGUGGCAGAGGGGGGUGGAAUUCCACGUGUAGCAGUGAAAUGCGUAGAUAUGUGGAGGAACACCGAUGGCGAAGGCAGCCCCCUGGGUUAACACUGACGCUCAUGCACGAAAGCGUGGGGAGCAAACAGG
RNAcentral lists this ribosomal RNA (253 nucleotides) under uncultured bacterium. RNAcentral describes it as "partial 16S ribosomal RNA". It matches the Rfam family "Bacterial small subunit ribosomal RNA", at positions 524 to 776 of the family's 1533-position model. The record is from RNAcentral.